ACUGAUGGCGACCGGCGCACGGGUGAGUAACACGUAUCCAACCUGCCGUCUACUCUUGGACAGCCUUCUGAAAGGAAGAUUAAUACAAGAUGGCAUCAUGAGUCCGCAUGUUCACAUGAUUAAAGGUAUUCCGGUAGACGAUGGGGAUGCGUUCCAUUAGAUAGUAGGCGGGGUAACGGCCCACCUAGUCUUCGAUGGAUAGGGGUUCUGAGAGGAAGGUCCCUCACAUUGGAACUGAGACACGGUCCAAACUCCUACGGGAGGCAGCAGUGAGGAAUAUUGGUCAAUGGGCGAGAGCCUGAACCAGCCAAGUAGCGUGAAGGAUGACUGCCCUAUGGGUUGUAAACUUCUUUUAUAAAGGAAUAAAGUCGGGUAUGCAUACCCGUUUGCAUGUACUUUAUGAAUAAGGAUCGGCUAACUCCGUGCCAGCAGCCGCGGUAAUACGGAGGAUCCGAGCGUUAUCCGGAUUUAUUGGGUUUAAAGGGAGCGUAGAUGGAUGUUUAAGUCAGUUGUGAAAGUUUGCGGCUCAACCGUAAAAUUGCAGUUGAUACUGGAUAUCUUGAGUGCAGUUGAGGCAGGCGGAAUUCGUGGUGUAGCGGUGAAAUGCUUAGAUAUCACGAAGAACUCCGAUUGCGAAGGCAGCCUGCUAAGCUGCAACUGACAUUGAGGCUCGAAAGUGUGGG
RNAcentral lists this ribosomal RNA (683 nucleotides) under uncultured bacterium. RNAcentral describes it as "bacterial SSU rRNA". It matches the Rfam family "Bacterial small subunit ribosomal RNA", at positions 84 to 765 of the family's 1533-position model. The record is from RNAcentral.